UGUCGAUUUAUCUCCUUCGGCCAAUAUUCGAUAAAUGACAGUUUCUGAUUGGUCAAAAUAUGGCUCCUAUGGAUCCGAUGAUUCAACGGCCCAGUUUUGAAGAUGGUUCGCCUCAGAAUGCUGAUCUUCGACACAUGUUAAUAGAAGGCAACUCGACGAGAUCAGUCUCAACCUCGAACUGGUACUCUCUUCAGCCGCCCUAUCGAAAGUUCGAUCUCAAGAGUGGGGGGCAUCUAUUGUGGAUCUAUACCU
RNAcentral lists this long non-coding RNA (252 nucleotides) under Elaeis guineensis (African oil palm). RNAcentral describes it as "long non-coding RNA (EGUI_LNC022082)". The record is from RNAcentral. Lineage: Eukaryota; Viridiplantae; Streptophyta; Magnoliopsida; Arecales; Arecaceae.